AACGAACGCUGGCGUCAUGCCUAACACAUGCAAGUCGAACGUUGCUUUCGGGCAUAGUGGCGCACGGGUGCGUAACGCGUGGGAAUCUGCCCUUGGGUUCGGAAUAACAGUGAGAAAUUGCUGCUAAUACCGGAUGAUGUCUUCGGACCAAAGAUUUAUCGCCCAGGGAUGAGCCCGCGUAGGAUUAGCUAGUUGGUGGGGUAAUGGCCUACCAAGGCGACGAUCCUUAGCUGGUCUGAGAGGAUGAUCAGCCACACUGGGACUGAGACACGGCCCAGACUCCUACGGGAGGCAGCAGUGGGGAAUAUUGGACAAUGGGCGCAAGCCUGAUCCAGCAAUGCCGCGUGAGUGAUGAAGGCCUUAGGGUUGUAAAGCUCUUUUACCCGGGAUGAUAAUGACAGUACCGGGAGAAUAAGCUCCGGCUAACUCCGUG
This 433-nucleotide ribosomal RNA is filed under the name uncultured bacterium. Its description in RNAcentral is "partial 16S ribosomal RNA". It matches the Rfam family "Bacterial small subunit ribosomal RNA", at positions 29 to 507 of the family's 1533-position model. The record is from RNAcentral.